UACGUAGGGAGCAAGCGUUGUCCGGAAUCAUUGGGCGUAAAGCGCGCGUAGGCGGCCCUGUAAGUCCGUUGUGAAAGUCAAAGGCUCAACCUUUGAAAGCCGAUGGAUACUGCAGGGCUAGAGUCCGGAAGAGGCGAGUGGAAUUCCUGGUGUAGCGGUGGAAUGCGCAGAUAUCGGGAGGAACACCAGUGGCGAAGGCGGUUGCCUGGGGCUGUGCUGACGCUGAUGCGCGAAAGCGUGGGGAGCGAUCCGG
RNAcentral lists this ribosomal RNA (253 nucleotides) under uncultured bacterium. Its description in RNAcentral is "partial 16S ribosomal RNA". It matches the Rfam family "Bacterial small subunit ribosomal RNA", at positions 524 to 776 of the family's 1533-position model. The record is from RNAcentral.